UGAGCAACCUGCCCUUGACUCCGGAAUAACAGCUGGAAACAGCUGCUAAUACCGGAUACGACCUCCGAUGGCAUCAUCUGGAGGUGGAAAGCUCCGGCGGUCAAGGAUGGGCUCGCGGCCUAUCAGCUUGUUGGUGAGGUAACGGCUCACCAAGGCUUCGACGGGUAGCCGGCCUGAGAGGGCGACCGGCCACACUGGGACUGAGAUACGGCCCAGACUCCUAGGGAG
RNAcentral lists this ribosomal RNA (228 nucleotides) under uncultured bacterium. RNAcentral describes it as "partial 16S ribosomal RNA". It matches the Rfam family "Bacterial small subunit ribosomal RNA", at positions 118 to 347 of the family's 1533-position model. The record is from RNAcentral.